Molecule: ribosomal RNA, 251 nt
Filed under: uncultured prokaryote
Description: partial 16S rRNA
Rfam family: Bacterial small subunit ribosomal RNA
Source: RNAcentral
ACGUAGGGGGCAAGCGUUGCUCGGAAUUACUGGGCGUAAAGGGUGUGUAGGUGGCUAAUUAAGUUAGGGAUGAAAUCCGGAGGCUCAACUUCUGAAAUGUCCUUGAUACUGGUCAGCUUGAGGCUAGUAAAGGAGAGUGGAAUUCCCGGUGGAGCGGUGAAAUGCGUAGAUAUUGGGAGGAACACCAGAGGCGAAGGCGGUUUACUAGACUAGAACUGACACUGAGACACGAGAGCUAGGGGAGCAAACGG